AACGAACGCUGGCGGCAUGCCUAACACAUGCAAGUCGAACGAAGUCUUCGGACUUAGUGGCGCACGGGUGCGUAACGCGUGGGAAUCUGCCCUUGGGUGCGGAAUAACUUCUCGAAAGGGAUGCUAAUACCGCAUAAUGUCGUAAGACCAAAGAUUUAUCGCCCAAGGAUGAGCCCGCGUAAGAUUAGCUAGUUGGUGGGGUAAAAGCCUACCAAGGCGACGAUCUUUAGCUGGUCUGAGAGGAUGAUCAGCCACACUGGGACUGAGACACGGCCCAGACUCCUACGGGAGGCAGCAGUGGGGAAUAUUGGACAAUGGGCGAAAGCCUGAUCCAGCAAUGCCGCGUGAGUGAUGAAGGCCCUAGGGUUGUAAAGCUCUUUUACCAGGGAUGAUAAUGACAGUACCUGGAGAAUAAGCUCCGGCUAACUCCGUGCCAGCAGCCGCGGUAAUGUGACUACUG
This 460-nucleotide ribosomal RNA is filed under the name uncultured bacterium. RNAcentral describes it as "bacterial SSU rRNA". It matches the Rfam family "Bacterial small subunit ribosomal RNA", at positions 29 to 534 of the family's 1533-position model. The record is from RNAcentral.